AGCUGCAGUUGACAACGGAAAAGACGCCGGAGUGUGAAGCUGCUGUUAUAAUAUCAUUGAUUAAAUUAAGCAACUAAAAUGCUACGCCACUUUGUGAGUUCGGAAAGUAAAUUUGCCGGCCUGUUGGGCAGACAGACACGCCCACAACGCGGCUAUCACAGCAAGAAAGGCGUCUGGGGCUAUCGACCCAUCGACAAGCGUGUCUUCGAAGUUGCGGAGGAGGUGAAGCAGGCAAGGAACUCGCAGGGCAAUGUCUAUCGCUGGGUCGAGGCUUUUCGCCAGCACGGACACAAAUUGGCUGCCGUAAAUCCCAUCAGCAUCAAAGAGCCCAACAGCGAAAGCGAGUUGCAGGAAUUAAAUCCCGCAUUUUAUGGACUGCAGACGCAGCAAGCGGUGCGCACCGCCAACCUCUUAAAUGCUCCCACGGAUGGCCGGAAUAUUCAGAAUGUUGCCCAGUUGGAGCAGCUGCUUAAGGACAUUUACUGCAGCAGCGCAGCGAGUGCUGAGUUUGCCUAUGUUGAGGAUAUCGAGGAGCGCGAAUGGCUGGCCCGCAACUUUGAGACACUAAACGAACAUCAGCUGCAGUCGACGGAGCGUUGCGAAAUCGCCGAGCUGCUAAUUAAGUCACAGGCAUGGGAUAAUUUCAUGGCCCUCAAAUUUCCCACGGUCAAACGUUAUAGCGGCGAGGGUGCCGAAUCCAUGUUGGCCUUCUUCUGGCAGCUUCUACGCGACAGCGUUCAAGCGAACAUCGAGCACGUGGUGCUGGCGAUGCCCCAUCGAGGACGCACCUCGCUGCAAGCGGCAAUGCUCAACAUGCGCCCGGCAAAAGUUUUUCGCAAACUAAGCGGCACAUCGGAGUUUGCCGACGACGUCGACGCCAUGUCGGACGUCAUAAGUCACUUCCAUGUUUCCGAACAGCUUCAAGUGCUUGGCAAGAGCAUUAACUUUAGCAUGGUUCGGAAUCCCUCACAUCUUGAGGCAGCUAAUCCGGUGGCCAUGGGCAAGACACGUUCCAAGCAGCAAACUCGUGGAGAAGGCGCCUUCAACAGCGAUGCCAAGGCUCGGCCCUUUGGCCAGCACGUGCUCAAUGUGAUACUGCACGGCGAUGCGGCUUUUGCCGGACAGGGCAUCAAUCAGGAGUGCCUCAAUAUGGCCUAUGUGCCGCAUUUCGAAGUCGGCGGCAGUUUACAUCUCAUUGUGAACAACCAGGUGGGCUUUACCACGCCUGCUGAGCGUGCACGCUCGACUGCCUAUUGCUCCGAUCUGGCCAAGUCCAUACAGGCCCCGGUUUUCCACGUCAAUGGCGAUGAUCCCGAGGCUGUUGCUCGCGUCACCAAUUUGGCAUUGCGCUAUCAACGCGAGUUCCGCAAGGACAUCUUCAUCGAUCUGAACUGCUUCCGUCGCUGGGGUCACAAUGAGGUCGAUGAUCCAACCUUUACCAAUCCCUUGAUCUAUCAGAUCAUUCAUCAGCGCAAGUCUGUGCCCGAUCUCUAUGCCGCCCAGCUGGCGGAUCAAGGUGUCUUAAGCGCGGAGCAAGCGAAUCAGCUGCGUGAAAAGUAUCUUGCUCAUCUUGGUGAGGAAUUGGCACUGGCUCCAACCUAUCAGCCGCCUCCUUCCUACUUCGAGAAGCAAUGGGCUGGACUCACUUCGGCGCCGUCUAGCGAACUUACCUACUGGGAUACAGGCUUGGAUUACAGUCUACUCCACUGGAUUGGCCAACAGAGUGUGACUUACCCCGCUGACUUUAAUGUGCAUCCGCAUCUGCUGAAGACUCACAUCCAAGGGCGGCUAAAGAAACUGGAAGCCGGCAAUAAAAUCGACUGGGCCACUGCGGAAUCAUUGGCCAUUGGCAGCCUCAUGUAUCAGGGCCACAAUGUGCGCAUCAGUGGCGAGGAUGUGGGUCGUGGCACCUUCUCCCAUCGCCAUGCCAUGCUGGUGGAUCAGCAGACCAACGAUAUGCACAUCCCGCUCAACCACAUGGAGGGCGGCAACGGUGGCAAACUGGAACUGGCCCACAGUAUUCUGUCGGAGGAGGCGGUGCUGGCUUUUGAGUAUGGCAUGGCCAUUGAUAAUCCACAGAACCUGAUUAUCUGGGAGGCUCAAUUCGGUGACUUUGCCAAUGGUGCCCAAAUCAUAAUUGACGCCUUCAUAGUCUCUGGCGAAACCAAAUGGAUGGACUCAAAUGCACUGGUCAUGCUGCUGCCACAUGGUUACGAUGGUGUUGCCUCGGAGCACAGUUCCUGCCGCAUGGAGCGCUUCUUGCAGCUCAGCGACUCCAAGGAAACCGCACCUGACGGGGAUGCCGUCAAUGUGCAUGUGGUUAACCCCACAACUCCAGCCCAAUACUAUCAUGUGCUGCGUCGACAGCUCGCCAGAAACUUCCGCAAACCAUUGGUGGUUGUGGGACCCAAGACGUUGCUACGUCUCUCGGCAGCCACCUCAACCCAUGAGGACUUCCAGCCCGGCACAAUGUUCUACAAUGUGCUUGGUGAUAACACUGUGCAGCCGGAACAGGUGCGCAAGGUCAUCCUGUGCAGCGGCAAGCACUACUACAACCUGGCCGAGGAGCGUCAGAAGCGUCAGGCCAACGACACGGCCAUUGUGCGCCUCGAAUCCCUCUGCCCCUUCCCCGUGCAGGAGCUCCGAGCACAACUGGCGCAAUACGGUAACGUGCGAUCUUUCGUGUGGAGCCAGGAGGAGCAUCGCAACAUGGGAGCUUGGACAUUUGUGCGGCCACGCUUUGAAAAUUUAAUUGGCAAGCAGCUCCAGUACUGCGGUCGCUCCGAGGCACCAACUCCAGCCACUGGCAUCGGCAAAGUGCACAGACGGGAAGCUGAAGAGGUUGUUGCUGCCCCAUUUGAAGUUUAGUAAGCUGCCACCGACCCCUCCUCACUCCAUGCAUCACAAAGUACUUUAGCUCAAUAAAACCCAGGAAAACAGGAAAAAACAAUUGUGGAUACGGCGUGGAAGGCGGCACCGAAAACUUCCAUGUGGCAUUACAUAAUAAUUCAGCGUAUGAAACAAAAAAGAGAAAAGUCAAAACUUUAUGGCAAAGUUUUUAAUUGUUUGUUGGCAUUGUGUCCAGUGUACAUCAAUUCCUAUUUUAACCUUUAAACUUGUCCAUAAAAAGUCCAAGGUUUAAUGCUAGGCAAUUUUUUGAAACAGACUUUCAAUUGGAAUUGUUUAAGCAGCGAAGUGACCUUACUUAAGUAUGUAUAUAAUAAUAAAUCGGAGGAUUUAAU
This is an RNA transcript of Drosophila innubila, 3242 nucleotides long. It is a transcript of the gene named probable 2-oxoglutarate dehydrogenase E1 component DHKTD1 homolog, mitochondrial, with no coding region annotated. NCBI's taxonomy places the organism in Eukaryota, Metazoa, Arthropoda, Insecta, Diptera, Drosophilidae. The transcript is spliced from 13 exons. The record is from RefSeq and is a predicted model, not a curated record.